This 384-nucleotide RNase P RNA is filed under the name Klebsiella pneumoniae. RNAcentral describes it as "RNase P RNA component class A". It matches the Rfam family "Bacterial RNase P class A". Rfam says of the family: Ribonuclease P (RNase P) is a ubiquitous endoribonuclease, found in archaea, bacteria and eukarya as well as chloroplasts and mitochondria. Its best characterised activity is the generation of mature 5'-ends of tRNAs by cleaving the 5'-leader elements of precursor-tRNAs. The record is from RNAcentral. RNAcentral also lists the same sequence under 2 other names. Lineage: Bacteria; Pseudomonadati; Pseudomonadota; Gammaproteobacteria; Enterobacterales; Enterobacteriaceae.
GAAGCUGACCAGACAGUCGCCGCUUCGUCGUCGUCCUCCUUCGGGGGGGAGACGGGCGGAGGGGAGGAAAGUCCGGGCUCCAUAGGGCAAGGUGCCAGGUAACGCCUGGGGGGUGUCACAGCCCACGACCAGUGCAACAGAGAGCAAACCGCCGAUGGCCCGCGCAAGCGGGAUCAGGUAAGGGUGAAAGGGUGCGGUAAGAGCGCACCGCGCGGCUGGUAACAGUCCGCGGCACGGUAAACUCCACCCGGAGCAAGGCCAAAUAGGGGUUCAUAAGGUACGGCCCGUACUGAACCCGGGUAGGCUGCUUGAGCCAGUGAGCGAUUGCUGGCCUAGAUGAAUGACUGUCCACGACAGAACCCGGCUUAUCGGUCAGUUUCACCU